RNAcentral lists this transfer RNA (66 nucleotides) under Panopea generosa. Its description in RNAcentral is "tRNA-Ala". The record is from RNAcentral. Lineage: Eukaryota; Metazoa; Mollusca; Bivalvia; Adapedonta; Hiatellidae.
AGUAAAAUAUUUUAAAAAAAAAAUUAAGUUUGCACCUUAAAAUUAGAGACUAUUCUCUUUUUACUG